This is a long non-coding RNA of Bombina bombina (fire-bellied toad), 261 nucleotides long. RefSeq lists it as uncharacterized. The record is from RefSeq and is a predicted model, not a curated record. The transcript is spliced from 2 exons. NCBI's taxonomy places the organism in Eukaryota, Metazoa, Chordata, Amphibia, Anura, Bombinatoridae.
CACAACACCUAUGGAGAUAGGAGUCCUUAGAGGACCACUCACCCCUGAGGAGCGUUUGAGAAGAAGAUCUAAACAGUUGUGUAUGUACUGCGCCAAUCCAAAUCACACAGUUUCUGACUGCCCCACCUUACGCAGGAAUAAACAAAAAAUGGGACCUUAGAAGACUGAAAACAGAAGCCAUCAUAGAUUCUGGAGCCUUCGGCAACUUUAUUGAUUCAACACUUGUAACCAACAAUAAAAUACCUUCUGUUAUGAAAGAAA